GAGUGACAGCUUGUCACGCCUAGUGUCCCGACAUUACGAUGUUGCUGUACAUUAUGUCCUCGCGACGUAAGUGGUCCUUUACUCAUCGGAAUGCGCCUCAAGCACUACUAAUUAUCACAUGAUAAAACUAAUUUCAGGAAUUGUUCAGGUAUUAUUAGAAAAAGGUUACUAAGUGCCAAGACACGCAAGGACAGAGGGAAGUUUGUGAGUUACACACCAGUUGUUUGUUGAAGCCAAAGAAUCACCAGAGAAAAUAGUCUUCGCUGCAGUCGACAAGAGGACGACAAGUGUGUGUUCAGAAGGUACUAACCCCCUGCGUUCUCCGUUGGGCCUAGUUCCACUGCAGACAUGAUGGAGAUCCACUAAGUGUGAUGGAAUACAGGAAGACUACACAGAUGAUAGUGUGGUACAUCUUGGAGUUGCCUAGUACUUGCUACCCAGAGACCUGCUGUAAACAGCUGCUGUUCUAAUUACUGGGUAUUGAUGGACGCUUGUAAAGUGAGGAAGUGUGACUCUUAUUGAGCUUCCUUCACCAGAUGAAGCUUGCUGCUAGGAGACGUUAUGCUGCAGGAUCACAUCCUAACAGAAAUGACAUCAAUCACUAGGGACCUUGCCCUUGCCUUAAAAGCUGCUACUUGGCCUUCUAAGAAACACGGAUAUAGCAGGUCAUGUGACACUGUGACCAACUCACCUGUGACUAGAUCAUCGUGUGAAGGACAACAUUUUCUUUUGACAUCCCAAAAUACCUCUUUCAAUGAUUCUACAAUUAAUAGUGACAAUUUAGUCAGUAUUUGAAGUAAAUUAAAACCUUUCUGCAUAAUGAAAUGGAUAUUUUUUUCUUAAUUUUUAAAUGUUUGAAAUCAAUAUUGCGCUUGCUUUUUAAGAAAAAAGAAAAUAUUUACAAUCUGUAAUACAAUCUUACGGUUAAGAAUGCCUUUGGUCUAGGACCUACGUAGUGCUGCAGCAGUAGUGCUUAUAUGUUAAUGUCGAUUACUCAACUGGCUUUGCAAAAAUCAGGAAGUAGUUAUGGUGCUUAAGACACUUGAUCUGAAAGUGAUAUAUCAUCGUAAAUGCAAACAUGACAACUACGACGCAAAACCAGAGAAAGACAAUUCCGCCACACCAAACGAUGCACACACACUCACAAACACACACAAACACUUAUAAAAAGUUUUCCAUGCCCACACAUCAUCUCUCUCUCUCUCUCCCUCUCUAAAAUAAAAUGUCUCAAAUGUAUAUUUUGAGAAAGAAUGUACCAUUUGAAUGCCACUAAAGCCAAAACAAUUAUGAAAAUAGAAGCUAGCGGUACCAUGUUCUUUGAGGUCAGUAAUUCUUUUAUACUUACAGAAUCUCUUUAUUUUUUUACGACCAAAGCAUUUAAAAUGUUCUUUUCUUCACAUCAUUUCUUAAGCAGCUUUCUACUUAGUCAAUCAGAAUGGCACGACAAAGAAUGGUGCUGGCUAUCAAACAAAAGUUGGAUUCAAGGCAGCAGCCUUACCCUUAUACCUCUUUAUGACCUUCAACGCACACGUGUGAUGACUAAUAGCUAGCAAGCUGAUACCUCAGGCAGUUAAUUAAAAAAAUCCAUCCAGAAAGAUUUUGACAGCAUCGACCGGUCGAUGCGAACACUGCACGACUAGGUUUAGCUCCUAAAAAUAGUCAAUUCAAGCUUUGCCUAUCAUCAGUUCGACCACUAAAUACAUGAACUUUAUGUAGUUUUCUUUAUCGUCUUAGACUGACCUAAGUGUAAGAACAAAUGUAUUCUCUUCUUCUGUGAGAAAGAGAGCGUGCGUGUGUGCGUGUGUUACAACCGUCGUCACUGUGAAGGGGUCAGUCAUCUUUCCGUUGUGGAUCAUCUGGCAGGUCGAGUCCUCGUACAGCUGUUGGAUGAUGGCAAUGGUGGAAAUCUGUAGUGUUGCAUCAGUUUCCAUAUGUUUUCCCUGUCUACGGAGUCAAAGGCAUUCUCAAAAUACACAAAAUAUAGGUGUAGUGGCGACUGCCAUUCGAUGGACUGCUCAAUAAUGUUUCGUAGUGUAGCGGUUCGAUCUGUGCAUGAUUUACCCUGCCGAAAGCCUGCCUGUUCUUGCCUCAGUCUCUUGUCUAGGGCAUUCUUUAAAACUCUCUAAGAUGAUUCUGGUCAGCACCUUGCUAGAAAUAAACAACAGCAUAAUCCCUUGCCAACUGCUGCACUGGGUUAGGUAUGUUGCAACCUGCUGUUCCUAUUUUCGAAGAAUAUACAACACGUAGCGUACUUUCAAAGUGUUUUAACGAGCUUUUUUUUCUAAAGACAAAAGAUGGAAAACAGAUUUGAAUAGGUUUCUAUAGUUGCAGGAAUCUAUGUCGGCUUAAAACUCUUCUAUUUUGUUCGGCGUUUUGCGGCAUCGGAUAUUCCCUGUCAGGUAUGGGCAGACAUAAAAUUUGCUUGGUGGACAAAGAUAUAGAGAGCUUGAACAAAUUUUACGUUGACUGUGCAAGUCUUUCACAAAACAUUGAAAUCAUUAAUUGAUUUAUAAAUUGAUUCAUCAAUCAUGAACUUAUCUUGACACAUAAUAUUACCGCGGAGAGGGAAAAGCUUAGGCCUGUUUCAGCUGACGCCAUGUUUACUUCGUCAGUAAUUCAAAGUAACUUGACAGUGUCUCUAUUAAUUUCUUAUACACAUCAUAAUUGUUUUAAGUGCACAUGAUGGUUUUUUAGUCGAAAACAAAUGCGUAAGGCAUUCGAGGUCAAAUGGCUGACAGCUUCCAGCUGUUGCCCUCAGGCAGGCGCUAUGAAGUGCCACGUGUACGGAAGGCUGCCUACCACAGGUACUUUGUGCCAGCAGCCAUCACCAUCCUAAAUAAAGACACAGGGACUCAAGAGGAAUCAUACACAGUCUGAAGAGAAGAGGGUACUGCAUCCAUUAUCAGCCAUCACCUUGUUGAAUGUGAGCUCCCUUUCGCACAAACAAGACGAGCUCUCUGCGCUCAAUCUAAAUAAUUAAUGAAAGUCAAGUGAUGUAAGCUGGUCUUAUUUGGCCAUGGAUCCUGGAGGAAGACCAUGCUUACCAAAGUCAAGGACUAGACUGUUCUCCUGUACAGGACCUGCUCACUAUCGCUCGGAUUAGGUAGAAAUGGCAAGCCCUGUCAGCUCCUAGGUUUAUCCAUGUGCUCCUCUGAACGACAGGUGCAUGUCAAGUGAUGAAUGAGGAUGAUAGAUGACGGAGGGUAGUCUACGCCACCGUGGCCGGAGGAAGACCUCGCUUACCAACGUCAAAGACUGGCUGGUGGCUGUGUGAAGGAUUUACUAUCGUCCAAAACAGGAAUAAGUUACUAUCCUUGUAAGCUGUUGCAUCUAUCAGUGUGCUCUUCCCCAACAACAGGAUCGCAACCUGAUGGAAACAACAUGAAUCACAUGCUGGGGACCUGACUUUACCGGGAGUGUUGCCACUUUGCUUUUAUGGGAUCACGAACUUGUAAUGCUGGACUGCUGGCAGACGGUUUUUUCCAGUUAACUACUAAAACGAGGCAUGAGACUACAAAACUUCCGGUUUAGUCACAUUCUUUGUUUGAGCUCGCCGAGACUAACAGCGGAGAACGUCGCAAGAGGGAAGCGUAUGUCUUGGCAGACAGACAGCAGUCCACCUAUACACGUCCGUGAUGGGACAGGGAUAAAGCUGUUCAAGUAAAACUGUGACCACCUCAGCUAUGACUAGAUCGUCGUGUGAAGGACAGAACCUGUGGCGGGAACACCAUCGCGACGUUAAUAUUACCAUGUAAUAAACUUCCUUGAUAAAAGCAGAGCAACACCGCCGUCAUGAAGUGGGAAGGUUCAAAUCUCGGAGCGGGCGUCAGCUGCAAAAGGACAAUUUUACUUGGCAACAUCCUGGUCAGUCCUCAGGAACCUCUGCUAGCCACAGUGAAGUGGUGGAAACUGUCUUAGUUCAACCACGUCGGUCGACAUGACAUCUUACCGAAAACAGUGCUUAGAUGAACGUAGGAGGACGGUGUUAAGGUAAUCAAAAGAAACGCCGGUUAACAAACAUCCACGAGUUGUCAGCCUGCACA
Molecule: unclassified non-coding RNA, 4043 nt
Filed under: Pomacea canaliculata
Lineage: Eukaryota; Metazoa; Mollusca; Gastropoda; Architaenioglossa; Ampullariidae
Description: uncharacterized LOC112568295, transcript variant X3
Source: RNAcentral